Molecule: non-coding RNA, 445 nt
Organism: Plectropomus leopardus (leopard coralgrouper)
Lineage: Eukaryota; Metazoa; Chordata; Actinopteri; Perciformes; Serranidae
Source: RefSeq, a predicted model, not a curated record
GUUGUAUUUGUCCCAAAGACAAAGAACACACUCUUAUUGUCUGUGUGUUUGUUUGUUUGUGUGUUUGUUUGUGUAGUUUGUUUGUUUUGGCGGCUUCCUGUCAGAGGAGGCGCUGUGAGCCUUCAGUGCUGCUUUAAAGACGCAGAAGAAGAAGCUGACCGCGGGGGGUGCAGUUUGUUGACAGUAGCUCAGAGACAAGAUGGACACACAGAGACAAACGGAGACACGCAGACAGACACACAGAGCGAUGUCUCCCCAUUAAUGUCCCGCUGAAACACCUGGAGAACCUGGAAAACCUGGAGGACCUGGAGUCUUUGAGCUGUCAGACCCUUGAUUUCAGCAGAAAGAUGGCGACACCCCCGUCUGUCCUCAGAGAGUUCUGCCCGCUCUACUACCUUCUCAAUGCCAUCCCUGCCAAGGUACUGACCCAGGCCAGACCAGGCCA